Danio rerio (zebrafish) is the source of this 832-nucleotide non-coding RNA. NCBI's taxonomy places the organism in Eukaryota, Metazoa, Chordata, Actinopteri, Cypriniformes, Danionidae. The record is from RefSeq and is a predicted model, not a curated record.
CACGAACCACGCCUGUUAUACGGACUCUGAUCCUUGCUGCCUGCCCUUGACCCAAGCCUGCAUAACGGAUCCUGGUUCUCGCUCACUCCCUUCCACUCAUGCCUGCUAUGGGCACAGAUUUGCUUUCUGGACUGAGGAGGCAAGAAGUGUCUUGGAUGGAAAGAUUCUGCUCCUUUUUAGGGUGAAAAGAAAAACCACAUCCAAUCUUCCGGCACAUGUCCAAGCAGUUCAAGAUCGGGAAAGGAAUGACAAAAGAUUAGUGGACUUGAUUAUCACAUCAAAAUCAGCAGAGCAGCAUUUGGUGGUAUAGAUGGUUCCACUUUAAAUUACUCCUCUAGACUCUGAGUAUGGUUGACUUAAAUAUAGUCAAGUGACAAUUUAACUAUUAUUUGCCAAAUAUAAUUAAUUACUUGUGCAUUUACAUAUGAAAUAUAAUUUCCUUCUAUGGCCCAAAGGAUAUACUCGGUGGGAAAAGGUGAAAUUGGUUUCCACUAAAACCCCGUUCUCAUGUGCCUGUCUACAUUGAGAAUGAGCAGUCCCAGUCAAUCAUUUGUGACUACAUCAGAGGAAUUCUUAAUAAAACCAAAACACAGCUGACCUUCAAUGAUGAGGUGGAGUUCAUUUGUGGAUGUCUCCUCCCAGAGGCCAUAACUCAUGGCAUUUCCGAGUUACAAGGCUUGUCUUGGCAGGAGGCUGAAGAUGUCUUCCUCCAGGGCCCCAUUUAUCACGCAAGUGAAGUUGAGGAAUUUAACAGAAGAAUUGCUCGAGAAAUGAAAAAUCUCCCCAACAAGAAUGUAAAGCAUUUUAUUUUAUAUGUAAUAAAUACAUUAUU